RNAcentral lists this ribosomal RNA (876 nucleotides) under uncultured bacterium. Its description in RNAcentral is "bacterial SSU rRNA". It matches the Rfam family "Bacterial small subunit ribosomal RNA", at positions 8 to 915 of the family's 1533-position model. The record is from RNAcentral.
AGAGUUUGAUCCUGGCUCAGAACGAACGCUGGCGGCAUGCCUAACACAUGCAAGUCGAACGCUUUUGGGGUUUCGACCUCAAGGGAGUGGCGCACGGGUGAGUAGCGCGUGGGAACCUGCCCUGUUGUGGGGGAUAACCGAGGGAAACUUCGGCUAAUACCGCAUGCGCCGGGAGCGAUCCCGGGAAAGAUUUAUCGCAGCAGGAGGGGCCCGCGUCGGAUUAGCUAGUUGGUGGGGUAACGGCCUACCAAGGCACCGAUCCGUAGCUGGUCUGAGAGGAUGAUCAGCCACACUGGGACUGAGACGCGGCCCAGACUCCUACGGGAGGCAGCAGUGGGGAAUAUUGGACAAUGGGCGCAAGCCUGAUCCAGCAAUGCCGCGUGAGUGAUGAAGGCCUUAGGGUUGUAAAGCUCUUUCAGCGGGGAAGAUAAUGACGGUACCCGCAGAAGAAGCCCCGGCUAACUUCGUGCCAGCAGCCGCGGUAAUACGAAGGGGGCUAGCGUUGCUCUGAAUCACUGGGCGUAAAGCGCACGUAGGCGGAUUUCUAAGUCAGGGGUGAAAUCCUGGAGCUCAACUCCAGAACUGCCUUUGAUACUGGGAAUCUCGAGUCCGGGAGAGGUGAGUGGAACUGCGAGUGUAGAGGUGAAAUUCGUAGAUAUUCGCAAGAACACCAGUGGCGAAGGCGGCUCACUGGCCCGGUACUGACGCUGAGGUGCGAAAGCGUGGGGAGCAAACAGGAUUAGAUACCCUGGUAGUCCACGCCGUAAACGAUGGAUGCUAGCCGUUGGUGGGUUUACCCUUCAGUGGCGCAGCUAACGCAUUAAGCAUCCCGCCUGGGGAGUACGGUCGCAAGAUUAAAACUCAAAGGAAUUGACG